This is a long non-coding RNA of Solanum stenotomum, 154 nucleotides long. RefSeq lists it as uncharacterized. Lineage: Eukaryota; Viridiplantae; Streptophyta; Magnoliopsida; Solanales; Solanaceae. The transcript has 2 exons. The record is from RefSeq and is a predicted model, not a curated record.
UUAUUAAUUUUUAGUCUUAACACAAACUGAUUGCGGCACAAACCCUUAGAGGAGAGAACGACAAGAUCUAUCGCAGAUUGGAAGGGUUCGGAGGCAUUGAGGAAAGAAAAAGUAUUGGAGAAGUAGCUUUUUCGCUUCGGUUCUUCGGUGGAGG